UAGAUGCUUACCAUGCGAGUCGAACGAUGAAGCCCAGCUUGCUGGGUGGAUUAAUGGCGAACGGGUGAGUAACACGUGAGUAACCUGCCCUUAACUCUGGGAUAAGCCUGGGAAACUGGGUCUAAUACCGGAUAGGAGCGUCCACCGCAUGGUGGGUGUUGGAAAGAUUUAUCGGUUUUGGAUGGACUCGCGGCCUAUCAGCUUGUUGGUGAGGUAAUGGCUCACCAAGGCGACAACGGGUAGCCGGCCUGAGAGGGUGACCGGCCACACUGGGACUGAAACACGGCCCAAACUCCUACGGGAGGCAGCAGUGGGGAAUAUUGCACAAUGGGCGCAAGCCUGAUGCAGCGACGCCGCGUGAGGGAUGACGGCCUUCGGGUUGUAAACCUCUUUCAGUAGGGAAGAAGCGAAAGUGACGGUACCUGCAGAAGAAGCACCGGCUAACUACGUGCCAGCAGCCGCGGUAAUACGUAGGGUGCGAGCGUUAUCCGGAAUUAUUGGGCGUAAAGAGCUCGUAGGCGGUUUGUCGCGUCUGUCGUGAAAGUCCGGGGCUUAACCCCGGAUCUGCGGUGGGUACGGGCAGACUAGAGUGCAGUAGGGGAGACUGGAAUUCCUGGUGUAGCGGUGGAAUGCGCAGAUAUCAGGAGGAACACCGAUGGCGAAGGCAGGUCUCUGGGCUGUAACUGACGCUGAGGAGCGAAAGCAUGGGGAGCGAACAGGAUUAGAUACCCUGGUAGUCCAUGCCGUAAACGUUGGGCACUAGGUGUGGGGGACCAUUCCACGGUUUCCGCGCCGCAGCUAACGCAUUAAGUGCCCCGCCUGGGGAGUACGGCCGCAAGGCUAAAACUCAAAGGAAUUGACGGGGGCCCGCACAAGCGGCGGAGCAUGCGAUUAAUUCGAUGCACGCGAAGAACUUUACCAGGCUUGACAUGUUCUCGAUCGCGUAAAGAUACGGUUUCCCUUUGGGGCGGGUCCAGUGUGCAUGAUGUCGUCAGCUCGUUCUGAAUGUGGGUAGUCCGCACGAGCCAACCUCGUCCAUGUGCAGCGUCAUGGUGGGGAACUCAUGGGAACUGCGGUUCACUCGAGGAGGUGAGAACAGCUCAUCACUAUGCCCUUAGCCUGGCUACGCAUGCUCAAAUGCGUCACAUGUGCAUCUUGGAGGUGGACUAUUCAACGCUCAUCGAUGGUCGAACUGUCCUGAAUCGGAAUCGGA
RNAcentral lists this ribosomal RNA (1213 nucleotides) under Micrococcus luteus. RNAcentral's name for it is "bacterial SSU rRNA". It matches the Rfam family "Bacterial small subunit ribosomal RNA", at positions 43 to 1324 of the family's 1533-position model. The record is from RNAcentral. Lineage: Bacteria; Bacillati; Actinomycetota; Actinomycetes; Micrococcales; Micrococcaceae.